This 1531-nucleotide ribosomal RNA is filed under the name uncultured bacterium. RNAcentral's name for it is "bacterial SSU rRNA". It matches the Rfam family "Bacterial small subunit ribosomal RNA". The record is from RNAcentral.
AACGAACGCUGGCGGCGUGGAUUAGGCAUGCAAGUCGAGCGAGUAAUGGACUGUAUUUUUAGACCGCAAGGUCUAAAAAUAUGGACCAUAGACGAGCGGCAAACGGGUGAGGAACACGUGGAUAAUUUACCUUCAAAAUGGGGAUAACCCCGCGAAAGCGGGGCUAAUACCGAAUAAGACUACAUCUUCGCAUGAAGAAGUAGUUAAAGGCGGGGAUCCCAAGCUAAUUUCGUAAGAAAUUAAUUUGGGACCUGUCGUUUGAAGAGAAAUCCGCGUCCUAUCAGCUAGUUGGUGAGGUAAUGGCUCACCAAGGCACUUGACGGGUAGCUGGUCUGAGAGGAUGGUCAGCCACACUGGGACUGAGGCACUGCCCAGACUUCUACGGGAGGCUGCAGUCGAGAAUCUUUUGCAAUGGGCGAAAGCCUGACAAUGCGACGCCGCGUGAGCGAUGAAGGUCUUCGGAUUGUAAAGCUCUGUUGUAGGGGAUGAAAGAUAAUCUGGUGAAUAAUCAGAUUGUUUGACAGUACCCUAAGAGGAAGCCACGGCUAACUCCGUGCCAGCAGCCGCGGUAAUACGGAGGUGGCGAGCGUUGUUCGGAUUGAUUGGGUGUAAAGGGCAUGUAGGCGUUUUGGUAAGUCGAAUGUGAAAUCCCGUAGCUCAACUACGGAAUUGCAUUCGAAACUGCCAGGAUUGAGUACGGAAGAGGAGAAUGGAAUUCCCGGUGUAAGAGUGAAAUCUGUAGAUAUCGGGAGGAACACCAGUAGCGAAGGCGGUUCUCUGGUCCGAUACUGACGCUGAAAUGCGAAAGCUAGGGGAGCAAACAGGAUUAGAUACCCUGGUAGUCCUAGCCGUAAACGAUGGGCACUAGGUGUAGGCUUGCGAGAGUCUGCGCCGCAGUUAACACGUUAAGUGCCCCACCUGGGGAGUACGUCGGCAACGAUGAAACUCAAAGGAAUUGACGGGGGCCCGCACAAGCGGUGGAGCAUGUGGUUUAAUAGGAUGCUACGCCUGGAACCUUACCAGGACUUGACAUGUAAGUGGUAGUGAACCGAAAGGGGAACGACCUCGCAGGAGGAGCUUACACAGGUGUUGCAUGGCUGUCGUCAGCUCGUGUCGUGAGAUGUUGGGUUAAGUCCCGUAACGAGCGCAACCCUUAUUUUUAGUUGCUACCUCGUAAGAGGGCACUCUAGAAAGACUGCCAGUGAUAAACUGGAGGAAGGUGGGGAUGACGUCAAGUCAGUACGGCCCUUAUGUCCUGGGCUACACACGUGCUACAAUGGGGUGUACAAUGAGAAGCGAGACCGCGAGGUGGAGCAAAUCUUUAAAGCACCCCCCAGUUCGGAUUGAAGGCUGCAAUUCGCCUUCAUGAAGUUGGAAUCGCUAGUAACGGCGUAUCAGCAACGACGCCGUGAAUACGUUCCCGGGCCUUGUACACACCGCCCGUCAAGCCAACUGAGUCGGUUGCACCCGAAGUCGUUUAUCCAACCCGCAAGGGAGGAAGGCGCCGAAGGUGUGGUCGGUAAGGGGGGCU